Molecule: long non-coding RNA, 238 nt
Filed under: Brassica napus (rape)
Lineage: Eukaryota; Viridiplantae; Streptophyta; Magnoliopsida; Brassicales; Brassicaceae
Description: long non-coding RNA (BNAP_LNC012679)
Source: RNAcentral
ACAAGCUUUUUCAAAAGAUGCUUAAGCUACUUGAUAUAUUUAGCUAGGAUGUCAAAUCGAGUUCUAGACAUGUGUUCUUUACAAGGUUUCUCCCUAUGCGUGAAUGCAAUCUAAAUGCUUCUAGACUCAAUCCUACAGAUGCAAAUGAUGCAACUAAAUGCUUCUUUUUGUGAUUUUUGAAUUUUUUUUUAUUUUUUUUUAUUUUUUAGGUAUGCACAAUGGAAUGCAUGAGACUCAA